GGACCCGUAGCUCAGUUGGUUAGAGCUCCCGGCUCAUAACCGGUAGGUCGCAGGUUCGAAUCCUGCCGGGUCCACCA
RNAcentral lists this transfer RNA (77 nucleotides) under Candidatus Xianfuyuplasma coldseepsis. RNAcentral's name for it is "Xianfuyuplasma coldseepsis tRNA-Ile". It matches the Rfam family "tRNA". Rfam says of the family: Transfer RNA (tRNA) molecules are approximately 80 nucleotides in length. Their secondary structure includes four short double-helical elements and three loops (D, anti-codon, and T loops). Further hydrogen bonds mediate the characteristic L-shaped molecular structure. tRNAs have two regions of fundamental functional importance: the anti-codon, which is responsible for specific mRNA codon recognition, and the 3' end, to which the tRNAs corresponding amino acid is attached (by aminoacyl-tRNA synthetases). tRNAs cope with the degeneracy of the genetic code in two manners: having more than one tRNA (with a specific anti-codon) for a particular amino acid; and 'wobble' base-pairing, i.e. permitting non-standard base-pairing at the 3rd anti-codon position. The record is from RNAcentral. Lineage: Bacteria; Bacillati; Mycoplasmatota; Mollicutes; Candidatus Izemoplasmatales; Candidatus Izemoplasmataceae.